RNAcentral lists this long non-coding RNA (659 nucleotides) under Ursus maritimus (polar bear). RNAcentral's name for it is "lncRNA (ENSUMAG00000021365.1)". The record is from RNAcentral. Lineage: Eukaryota; Metazoa; Chordata; Mammalia; Carnivora; Ursidae.
AUUUCCAAGUCAAGAAAAGGACAAAAGCCCUUCCUAGAUCCUGGGUUCGCCCCAGGGAACUCCCCCGGAUCUGGUUCCAUUCCACAGGGAUGGCACUGGAACUAUGGGCACCAGCCAUCUUGACUUCGAUGAGAGGUAAAAACAGCGCUGACUUCAACAUGGCCAUUGCUCCCUUCUGUGAGGUUAAAUGGCAAGAAGCACUAUUCUCCCGUGUCGUCCUCUUCCAGGGUGUGCUGUGGUUGCUGAGUACCUGACACUUAGGUGGGCUCAGUCAGGACAACUCUGCCCUUUUUUUUCCUGCUAAAGACUAGACGGGAGCCACCUUCCUCAUGGAUGCCACCCCUCUGACAGGCACCAGUGGGUCAGCACGCAGAGGGCCAUCUGCCGAGAUGAGGACACCAAGGCACGGAGACGAAUGUGCCGGAGCUCACACAGUGAUACCCCUGCUGACAGAAGCAGAUUUCAAACUCAAGCUGUCGAACGCCCACGCCAGGCUCUUAAAUCCCUUGACGUCUUUGACCUGCUGUUUCCUCCUCUACAAAAGCAGCCAGGUGAGGAAAUUUACCUCAAAGCUGGGCUGUGAGAGACUCCCAUGAACGAGGGAUCCGAUCAGUUGUGUUGUUGUCACACCGCAGAAUACAAUACAGCCCUGAAAAGGG